UGUCCUGUUGAAAAGGGGGACGCAAAAGCUGAAAAUGCCCGGAAGGAUAUGGCUUCCUUGAACUGCGGGACGUGUAGCUGCAGCUGUGGGGUGGACCAUGGAAACAGAUCAGCAGGAAGAAGAGAUGGAAGCAACGCCAUGGACCUUCACGUCCUUCAGAGUGUGGGUGGGCUUUGGCUUUGCAGUGAGAGCAAGUAUCACCCAGGAUGGAGAUGGGAGGUAAUGGGUGGCCCCGACAGGUGCCUCCUACUGCUGGCAGCAAGGAGAGAGUGAAGAGGCAGAAUUUCCUUGGUCUAGACUAGUGUCUGGGUCAUGGGCAUGGCAGUGCUUGAGCUUUUGACCAGAAGCAAGUGGACAUGGAUUUGAGCUUCGGGUAAGAAGGGAGACUUCUCUCCAGGGACCAUAGGGGCUGGCAGCUGAAGAAGGUGACUUGGCCCCUCUCUAGAGGGUGAACGCAGGAUCAAUUCAAGGCCAUGAAGUGGAUGCAGCUGGGAGAGCCUGCUUGGUGCUUUUAAACCUCAACAUGUCCACCGCAAAUACCUCAAACACUGCUCACACCGUGGUAAAAUCUAGUUGCGAAAUCUGUCCUGCGGCA
RNAcentral lists this long non-coding RNA (595 nucleotides) under Pan troglodytes (chimpanzee). RNAcentral describes it as "long non-coding RNA NONPTRT010001". Lineage: Eukaryota; Metazoa; Chordata; Mammalia; Primates; Hominidae. The record is from RNAcentral.